CGUGUAGGCGGCCGGAUAAGUCAGAUGUGAAGGCCCUGGGCUUAACUCAGGAAGUGCAUUUGAAACUGUCCUGCUAGAGUAAGGGAGAGGGAAGUGGAAUUCCUGGUGUAGAGGUGAAAUUCGUAGAUAUCAGGAGGAACACCGGUGGCGAAGGCGACUUCCUGGCCCUAUACUGACGCUGAGACGCGAGAGCGUGGGUAGCAAACAGGAUUAGAUACCCUGGUAGUCCACGCCGUAAACGAUGUUCACUAGGUGUUGGGGGUAUUGACCCCCUCAGUGCCGGAGCUAACGCAUUAAGUGAACCGCCUGGGGAGUACGGUCGCAAGACUAAA
Molecule: ribosomal RNA, 332 nt
Filed under: uncultured bacterium
Lineage: Bacteria
Description: bacterial SSU rRNA
Rfam family: Bacterial small subunit ribosomal RNA
Source: RNAcentral